Molecule: long non-coding RNA, 3929 nt
Filed under: Salvia miltiorrhiza (redroot sage)
Lineage: Eukaryota; Viridiplantae; Streptophyta; Magnoliopsida; Lamiales; Lamiaceae
Description: long non-coding RNA (SMIL_LNC007790)
Source: RNAcentral
CGCCAUCCCAUGCAAUAAAAUUAUUAUUAUAUUAUUGAAAAAUGCAUCCACUUUUUAUAUUCCCUAAUCUUCAAGUGAUAUAUAAUUAUCUAAUAGUAAUAAAAUCCUUCUUGCUGGCUUAUCUAACGCAGUAGUGCGCCACUGGUAAUACCUAUAUAACAACACACAUAACUCAUAAAAUCUUCCUUCCUCAACCUUAUCAAUUACUCAUAUUUCGUUUCUUCUAAAUUUUGUGUGUAGAAAUAGAGAAGCAAAGUAUACAUAUUUUGAUGGGCGUUUGAAAUGGAAGCACGCAUUCUCGUCGUGGCCAUUUUCACAAUUCUCCAAACAGCCACGUGGAGCUCACGUGCAACGGCAAUGGUGGUAGGUUUCAAAGCCACUCCAAAUCCCGACGUCUNCUUAUUGAAAAAAAAAUGAACUAAAUAGGACAUUUAAAAAAAAAAAAAACGGGAGUAAUAUACAACUUCUCAUAUACUACUUCAUAGGUCAUACCCACCUGUGACUGCAGGCACACAUAUACAUGAAAAUUUCAACCUAUAUUAAUUUCUACCUAUUUAUACAGGCAGUUGCGAAAACGUAAAGAGUUGACUUUUUUGUUUCCCUAAAUCUUUAACUCAGAAGACAGAGAAAGGUCAUGAGCGAGAAAGUCAAAAAACAUCAUAAUAGCAUCUAGUUGACAAAUGACCUUCUAGAUAAGCAUUUUUUUUUNUUGGAACACCAACUAGAUAAGCAUAAAGCAUACAUCUAAGUUGUAUUUCACUUCCCCACCCCACCAGUUAAUCUGACAAACGUAUAUAUACAGUAUUUGUCAUUAAUUUACUUAAAUUCGUGGAGUGUAUAUGUUGAUGAAUUUAUCUAAUAUUUUUAUCAGACAACAUGGAUAUUAAUUAAGAUCGAUAUAUUCUUCUUUAAUUAUUUCGUUUAAAUUCUCUCUGUAUGGUAAAAUAAACAGCUUAGUCUGAACAAAGAGACCUUAACCAUUUCGCAUAGCUGUUGUUAUCUUCAUUGAUUUUCGUGUGUUUAAUUAAUCUGCUAAUCAAUUAAUAUUUGAUUAAAUGUCAUGCUCAUAAAUACAAAAUAGUACUAGUACUUAUUUUAAAUAGUACUACUUGUCAACUAAUUAUUUUAGGGGGAGUACGGAUUCACCCAGCAUCGAGUAAACCCUAAGCUAGUAGACUAGGACAAAGAUAUUCUUCCCAUACAAAAGUGCCCCUUCAACAUAAUCUUAAUUUAUUUAUUUAAUCUUCGUCGUAGCACAGCGAAUCACGCCGAAACCAUUAGUUCCUCUCUCUUCUCUUUUAUGGACGAAUAAGAAGAAAGUUAUCGAAUAAAGCUGUGACAUGCAAAUGAGAUGCAGUUAGAUAAUAUAGGAAGUGAGAAAAGGCAUCAAGUGUUGAAUAGCUGCAAAAGUUCCAUGGUCUGUAUGUGUAUAUACGAAAUUUUCCAAUGUAGGGUCAUAGUAAUUAAUAUGUACUAACAUAUAGUAUUACAAUAAUAAAAUACACAAUUUAUUGAGAAAACGAAAUAGAAAUUCGAGUUGCAAUUGCAACUUGCAGAUUUACAUUGAUUCAAUAAAAGUAUCACUUUUAGGUGGAUCCACCAAUCCUCCAACAUUAAUAUAAUAUCUACUGCUGCUGCUGAAUUGAAAUUUUAUUGAGAAAAAGAAAAACGAAAGUAACAAAGAAAACCCGUUGAAGGCACAAUAGACGCAAACUAACGGGCUACGAAACCAUAACGGCGAGGACCCAUAGGGAAAAACACCGUGAUAGGAAAAAAGAGUCAAGAAAUGUGCAGGAGCUCCAUAGCAUGAACCCCAUGACAAUCAAAAUUCAAGAGCAUCAUCCUCCGUAUGAAUAUAAGAAUCCAUGAUGUCCCCCCAACGUUGAGGAUAGACCGGUUGAAUAUCAGAAUCCAUGAUGUCCCCCCAACGUUGAGGAUAGACCGUUUGAAUAUCAGAAUCCAUGAUGUCCCCCCAACGUUGAGAAGAGACCGCCGUCAUCGCAAGACCAGCUGCAUCCCCGGGAGUGGACGAUAGAAGCAGGAUGUCGUAACCUUUGCUUUAUAGACGGUAUUAGAAAUCCCCCCUUUCCCGACUUGCUUGGUAGCGCCCUUAGGACGCCCUCGGCCUCGCUUGGCCGUAGGAGCUUCAGUGAGCUCGACUGUUGAGUCUGAGGCUGGGCGAACCUGAUCAAGAGGCACAGUUGCAUGAGUCGAGUCAUCAUGCAGAGGGACGAUUGAAGCACCAGACUCAGGGGUGCGAUCGAUGCCAGGCUCUUCCUGAGAUGCUGAAGUCAUAAUAGCGGCUGUGGGUAUGCCACUACUAGAAUUAGGCACAACAUCAUUUAGAGACAUAUCGGGAGACUCAACAACAAAGUUUUCGUCCACCCUGUCGUCUAUCUGUUUCGGUCCACCUUCUCAUCAUCUUUAUGAAACACGCCGUAACGUUUUUCCAAUCCAAUCGGCUGAAGAUCACUAUCCUUGACAUUAGGUUCAUUAACCUGUUCCUUAGGCUGCCUAAGCAGGCUUGGGAUCCGACCGUAGUAGCUCUUUCAUGAUUCUCCUCAACUUGAUCAGCCGCUUCCUCAUUCUUCUGCUUGCCAUUUGCUUUCGCAACUCUCCGGCAUUUGUCCGUGGAAUGACCAGUGAUUUUACAACGAGAACAGAACAACGGCAAAGAUUCGAAACCAAAUUCAAUGUAGAAAGAAUUAUUACCAUCAUCGAUGUACAUUGAAUUGAGAAGGGGCAGCGCCAUAUUGAUUUCCACAAGGACCCUGGCGAAGUGCCCCACUUGGCCAUUAGCAGAAACGUUGUCAAUACGCAACGGAUGUCCUAGGGCUCGACCAAUAUUAGCAAUAAUAACUGGAGUCCAUAAUUCCACCGGGAGGUAAUACACCCUUACCCACACUUGCGCAAGAGAUGAGGUUUCUUUAUAAGGAUCAAAGUAUCUGCACCAUUCUCGAAGACGUAUGUGACCCGUUGAAAGCUGGAGGAUCGCAUUUCCUUUUGCCUUUUUUUUUGCUUCCAGCGUAUUGAAUUUGAUAGUAAAGAAUCCCUUAGCCAUAGGAAUGAAUUGGCAAUCCGAGCACUGCCAGAUACGUUGCAACUCUAGCGCAAUAUCCGUGAACGAACGCGGCUUGUCGCCUUUGCGAAGGAUCAUCCUCCCGAUCAAAGCAAACUGGAAUUCAUCUAGACGCUGUUGAUACUCUGAUUUCGGGAUCGAUAAAGUAACGACCUCCCCCUCACGUUUCGAAUGAAGGGUACGAAGGCCAUAAGCAGGAAAAUCCGGCUUCUUGAUAAUGGUAGGCCGAACUUUCGCGGCAUAAGAGAUAGGUUGGCUGGACGACUGGAUGAGCUGUUCUGAGUCGUGUAAUCCUCCAGAAGGCUUAUCUGUAUCAGCAUGAGGCGUCGACUGCAGAGAGUGCAUCUUAGUAGCAUCGAGUUGUAACAGCAAACCAGCUUCGGCGGCGCUAGUAACGGCCGAAGUGGCGAUGCUUGUAUUUGCAGCAGCGGCUAGGGGCAGCGGCUGAAGAGAGUGCCUCUUAGAGGCGUCUAGAGGUCGUGGAGGAUCGAAGUUUGUGGAGAUAGGAGGGAGGUUGAGAAAAUAUAAUAUCUACUGUAUGGAGAGGUCCCUCGCCAUCCCAUGCAAUAAAAUUAUUAUUAUUAUUAUUAAAAUGCUACUCACUUUUUAUAUUCCCUAAUCUUCAAGUGAUAUAUAAUUAUCUAAUAAUCUAAUAAUAAAAUACUUCUUGCUGGCUUAUCUAACGCAGUAGUGCGCCACUGGUAAUACCUAUAUAACAACACACAUAACUCAUAAAAUCUUCCUUCCUCAACCUUAUCAAUUACUCAUAUUUCGUUUCUUCUAAAUUUUGUGUGUAGAAAUAGAGAAGCAAAGUAUACAUAUUUUGAUGGGCGUUUGAAAUGGAAGCACG